UAUCUGGUUUUCACCAUGUAAUAUAUGAGUCUUAGGCUUCAUCUGGAAUUGCAGAGAGAUUGCGUUCGUGCGGUGAGAAAUCGCGAUGAAAAAAUAUCCUAUUUGUUUUUGUACGUAAUAUUGCGUUAUGUUGCGGUUAGUCGGUUACGAUAUAUUUUCUACAGUCCCAUCAAAGAACGCAGAAGCAUAUCCCUAUAUAUUUUUUCUCAACUCCAUUCUAUCUAACAAUGUUAAAUAGAUCUCAAUACCAAACUAAGCCUUAAUAAUUUUUUUGGUUUCGCGUAUUUACCAUUUUGCAUGGGAAUUU
Molecule: long non-coding RNA, 307 nt
Filed under: Ananas comosus (pineapple)
Lineage: Eukaryota; Viridiplantae; Streptophyta; Magnoliopsida; Poales; Bromeliaceae
Description: long non-coding RNA (ACOM_LNC004338)
Source: RNAcentral